UGGGGAAUAUUGCACAAUGGGCGCAAGCCUGAUGCAGCCAUGCCGCGUGUAUGAAGAAGGCCUUCGGGUUGUAAAGUACUUUCAGCGGGGAGGAAGGGAGUAAAGUUAAUACCUUUGCUCAUUGACGUUACCCGCAGAAGAAGCACCGGCUAACUCCGUGCCAGCAGCCGCGGUAAUACGGAGGGGGCAAGCGUUAAUCGGAAUUACUGGGCGUAAAGCGCACGCAGGCGGUUUGUUAAGUCAGAUGUGAAAUCCCCGGGCUCAACCUGGGAACUGAAUCUGAUACUGGCAAGCUUGAGUCUCGUAGAGGGGGGUAGAAUUCCAGGUGUAGCGGUGAAAUGCGUAGAGAUCUGGAGGAAUACCGGUGGCGAAGGCGGCCCCCUGGACGAAGACUGACGCUCAGGUGCGAAAGCGUGGGGAGCAAACAGG
This 429-nucleotide ribosomal RNA is filed under the name Chloroflexota bacterium. RNAcentral describes it as "Chloroflexi bacterium partial 16S ribosomal RNA". It matches the Rfam family "Bacterial small subunit ribosomal RNA", at positions 355 to 776 of the family's 1533-position model. Lineage: Bacteria; Bacillati; Chloroflexota. The record is from RNAcentral.